RNAcentral lists this non-coding RNA (21 nucleotides) under Caenorhabditis elegans. The record is from RNAcentral. Lineage: Eukaryota; Metazoa; Nematoda; Chromadorea; Rhabditida; Rhabditidae.
UCCGACCCGAAAAAACCCCAA